GGGGGGGGGGCUUAGGGACCAGAGCCGAAUACAUCCUCUUUCAGGUCUCUUUUCUUCCUAGCCAGCAAUCACUAGCAUUGAUGGAGCGCUCGCUGUGCGCCAAGCGGUGUUCUAGAAGCCUCAGCUCUCUUCCUGCUCGCAUCAACCUAGGACCUGUUACCCCGGCCAUUUUACAGACGGAGACAAAUGAGGCACAGAGUGGCACUGGGAGAUCAGACACUGAGGAGACAUGGACCCUGCCCUCAAGGAGCUUACAGUCGAGAGAGGAGACGGAGACCAGCCAACAGGCCUUCCCGAAAGAGUGGCGGAGAACAGAUCUGUUCUACCUGUGACCACCAGGGCGAUUCUGUCGCGGACUUCAGCAGGUAAAGCAUCUGGGACCUGAGGUGCCUCCGGGAGAAGGAGGAGACUCAUAAUCCAGGGCUCGGUUCCCCCAGGGGUGCCCCCUUCUGACCACUCUCCUUCCCUGUCCCACCCCAACUCCUGCCCUUGCUGUGGCUGCUGGCUUCCCCUCCUGUCUUUCCCCACGUCCCCCUCCCCAAGCAGCCUGGAGACACUCCAGGGCAACCUUCUCCCCACCCCAGGCAGUCCCUCUCCCACAACAGACUCACCCCUACAGGGCUGUUCGCUGUCCCCGCUCAGUAAGCAGCGAGGAUAGGGCAUCAGGAGACAGUGAGAGUGCAAACACCCAUUCUGCUACCUGGGACACACACACAGCAGGUGGAGUGAGAGAGUAACCCCCCAGGGUCCCCUCUGGGCCAGGAAGUCCUUGCAGUCUGACUCAAAUCCCACCUGCUAGGGCACUUCCUCUCAUUUGGCCUCUAAGACACCUUCCCUCGGGGUAACGGGUAUCGGAGACUUGAAAUACGCCACUCCAAUUCCUUCAUUUUUGCAAAUGUCACAUUAAAGUGAACAAGGUGA
Molecule: long non-coding RNA, 921 nt
Organism: Panthera uncia (snow leopard)
Lineage: Eukaryota; Metazoa; Chordata; Mammalia; Carnivora; Felidae
Exons: 2
Source: RefSeq, a predicted model, not a curated record